Molecule: long non-coding RNA, 5209 nt
Filed under: Sus scrofa (pig)
Lineage: Eukaryota; Metazoa; Chordata; Mammalia; Artiodactyla; Suidae
Description: lncRNA (ENSSSCG00035077011.1)
Source: RNAcentral
GGUAAGCCGCCAAUGGGAAGGAUGAGACGAAUGCUAGGAAGAAAACGAGACGAGGUGGUCCGAUCUCGGCCACUGACAUCCACAGCCCGUCCUCAGCUUCUGCUGUUUCAGCUAUUGACUUGCUUGCUUCACUGGGAAGACCUUGGCUGGGACUCCCAAAAGACACAAACAGUGUCGUCUCUGUCCCUUGCUCUUUGGUAUCCUUUCCUGAGAUUGCUCCCUCGGUGAAGUGACCCAGUAGCAAAAGUAGGAAGCAAGGCAUCCAGGCAAUCAUUUCUCAGGUACUGUGGCUUUUCAUGAAGCUGAGGGUUUGAGUUCGUACCUGUCAGUAUCAACAGUGCUUAAUUACUAUUCUUAUGAUCCGAAUUAAGAAAAAUAAAGCCCUACCAGUUAUUAGGAGAGGAAACAAGGGGAAAUGAUUUUAUCAGUUCUUGCAGUUUUAUUUUAAAGUUUCCCACGUGUCUGCAAAAAACUAUCAUCUGUGUCACCACAUAAAGAAUUUUGAUUUGUAACUCAGCUGACUAGACUCUCCUUACAAUUGAUGUUUAAGACAUUUGUGCCCUGUUUUCGUUGGUACAUGGGAAUUUGGAGUGUGACCCGUGACUCAUCAGUUGACGUUGUAGUGCAUUUUUAGAAACAAAGAAUGCAAUAGCAGGUUUCCCCAAGCAGCAGUGGUGCAAGUAAAAACCGGAAAACACACAUUUGUCUGUAUUGGCUGGUGUCAUUACAGCUAUAUGUUAAAUUGAUUCUUAGAAAUGUGUUACAACCCUGGAUUUUGGAGUAGAAUAGGUAUAAGCUAUGUUAUGUGUCCUGAAAAAAUUCUUAUUAUGUGGCAGUAACUGCAUUUCUCCCUUUUUUAUGGUCUGAAGUCACUUUAUAGAUAAAUAUGAUACUUAAUAUUUAGGCUUGUAUUUUACUUAUUUUUGAAACAGAUGAAGCAGUGAAGAAAAAACGUUGUCUUGGGCAUACUACCUAAUUUUCAGUGCUCCAUAAAACGGUCUUUAUUUUUUAUUUUUUUUAAUUGCUAUAAAAUUUUUAGUUUCUUUAUAUUUCAUUUCUUCUGAAUUUUGGGAAGAAGAGAUUAUAUCAACUCCUUGAUAUUGCUUGAUUUUUAAAAGUUUUUGCUAUUUUAAAAAAUUUUAUGGUGUCUUUCACCUUUAAAUUUUUUUAAAUUCUGUAUUUAAAUUGUUUUUAUGUUCAAUGUGUGCAUCUUGUUUGUUUGCUUAGCUUUUUAGUUUCAUGAAUGUAAGAACCGAGCAUGGCUGCUAGAAUUUCUACCUCCUCCGGCUCCUGCACUGAUAUACAGCAGUACACAUAGAAGUCAGCCUGCACCAAUGGAUAUCUUAAUGAAAGACAAGUCUUAUCACACUCCUUUAUCCAGCCAGCCAGCUCCACUGCAGAGUUGACUGCUGUUAGAGGGUUUUUGUAUAUCCCUCUAGGCGUGUUUUGUGCAUAUACACUCCACUGUGUAUCUCUGUACAGAUAGGUUUGGUUGGUUUUNUUUCUUUUUUGUCUUUUCGUCUUUUUAGGGCCACACCCGCAGCAUAUGGAAGUUCCCAGGUUAGGGGUACAAUCAAAGCUGUAGCCCACAGCCUACACCAGAGUCACAGCAACCUCAGGGUUCCUAGUCGGAUUCACUUCCGCUGCACCACGAUGGGAACUCCUAGAUGUUUUUAAACAUAACACUGUUUGUACUCUGAUUUAAGUUAGCUCCAAAUUUGUGUUAAGUUGCUCAUCUUUUUGAAAUUUAACUUAGUUGUCUUUUUAGUUGUCUCCUGGUCUCGUCUGAAUUAUAUUACCUUUUUUUAAAAAAAAGUGAUUCUCUUGAAGAACAUGUAAACAUUACCAUAGAGGGGUUUUCUCUGCUGGAUAUGAUUAUAGAAAAAAAGAUCAUCUGAACUUUUUUAAAAACUAAAAUCAUGACCUGUUGUUUAUUCCUUUUUAAAGGGAUACUGGACAUGGUAAACUCUAGUCAUUUUCCAGCCUUCUUUGGUGUAGCUGAGGUUCUACACCUGGAAGAAUGGCUGCUUGGUACAUUCGAAAUUUUCCUGAAAAGCUUGGAUAGUAGCAAAUAUUACAGUAAAAAUACCGAAAGAAAAGUUCCUUGUUUAACAGAUCUGCUUGCUAAUUGGAAAUAUCUCAGUGUGUUUUACAGGGUUCAUCAGUUCUACAGAUUGUACCUUAUAGUAUUAAUGUUUGUAGUGGGCACUCUUAGAAUAACUUUCAUUUUGAGAAAUGUUGAAUGCAUCAAUUUUUUUCUAAAAAGGAGAGGAGGAAAAGUUUUUCCCUUAAGUUCAAUUAGAAUACGAUGUUAGAUCUGGAGGGCAAUAAAAGUAAAUUAUUUUCAGUAAUUUAAGAGCAUCAGCCUACAAGUCUUUAAUGUUUUCCUGUGUAUUAUUGCCUUCCGUUAGGUUGUGACGUGUAAAUAGGAAGAACGUGAAUCUGAAUCACUGCCGUUACUACCAUUUGAGUGACAACUCUGGCUGUCACUCUGCUGGAGCUUGAAAUAUCCUAUGCACAGAUGCUCACCCAGUAUGCAUCACCCCAUGUGUAUGCCCUUGUGUAAAGGCAUCUUUUCCUAUUGGGUGAUUCUAUAGUGAGGCUUCCUAUGUCAUACAGACUUGGCUUGUGCAGCGGUUAUCUGCUCCUUAGGUUGUAAGUUCUUUGAGGGAAGACUCUUAGUCCUCUAGAUACACUUUUCAUUCUUAUAUAGAUAUAGAUGCUUGUAUCGGAGUUGCCCAGUGUAGUGACCACUAGCUUUACGGGGUUUUGAGCAUUUGAAGUGUUGCUAGUCCCAACUGAUGUGUGUCGUAAGUAUACAAUGCACACUGGAUUUCAAACGCUUGAUAUUGGAAAAGGCUAAGAUAAUUAGUAUUGAAAAAGAUCAUAAGAUAAUUAAUUUUAAAAUUAUUAAUUAUAGUGAUAAAAUUUGGUUAUACUGGAUUAAAUAAAAAUAUACUACUAAAAUUAAUAUCACUCUUUUUUUUUUUUCUUCUUGCUGUGGUUUCUAGAAAUUUUAUUUAAUUUCGUCCCUUUAGGGCUGCACCCAGAGGAUAUGGAAGUUCCCAGGCUAGGGGUCAAAUCAGAGCUGCAGCUGCUGGCCACAGCCAGAGCAGUGCCAGAUCCUGAGCCUCAUCUGCGACCUACGCCGCAGCUGGUGGCAGCGCCAGGUCCUUAACCCACUGAGCGAGGCCAGGAAUUGAACCCUCAUCCUCAUGGGUACUAGUCGAGUUUGUAACCUGCUGAGCCACAACGAGACCUCUCUAGAGAUUUCAAAUUAUAUCUGCUGCACGUUCUGUUUCCAUGGGUCGCUGCUGAUCUAGACCCUCAUCCCCUUUGCUUCUCUUUGCAAACCAAGCCCCUGUCUCAACCUAGAGAGACAGCUGGUGUGACACAGGGCGUGCGAGCUCUAGACCUGGAGCCAGAGACCAAGCCUAAAUUUUUUCUCUCCUUUAUAAAUGCCGGGUAAUUUAGCAGUGGUUUAAAACUCAUGUUUCAUUUGAAAAUAUUAUCGAUCAUUUCCCAGGUGCUGUCCACUGCGCCUGAUGCUCAGGCUGUAAUGCUGAGCAGAACAUAGGCCCAGGACUCAGAGUUUCCAAUCUAGUGGGGAAGACAGAUAUUAAAUAGUCCUGCAGGAGUUCCCAUUGUGGCUCAGUGGCUUAAGAACCCGACUAGUAUCCAUGAGGAUGCAGGUUCCAUCUCUGGCCUCACUCAAUGGGUUAAGGAUCUGGCGUUGCUGUGGCUGUGGUGUAGGCCGGCAGCUGUAGCUCCGAUUAGACCCCUAGCCUGGGACCCUCCAUAUGCUGUGGGUUCUACCCUAAAAAGGUAGAUAGGUAGGUAGUCAGUCAGUCAAGCAAAUGAAUAAGUAGUCAUGCAAAUAAAUUGUUGUGAUAACUGCUGAGAGGGAAACGGUAUUAUAAGACCAUAUAUCCGGGGGACCUAUCCUAGUCACAUGGAACUCUUUUUAAGAAAUCACAUUUUCUAAAAAGCAUUUUUGCAUAUGUGUGUGUUUAAGAAAUAACAUUUUGAAAUAUGAGAAAGAGUUAUUUAAGAGCAGAUAGUAGUGGAAAAGAGAAUUCCACGCAGAUGGAAUAUUCGCAGAGGUCUUGAGUCAAAACCGGGCAUGGCAUUUUAAAACCUAUGGAUUGGAGAAGUGAAAUGAGUAAGGACUUCAGUAAGAAAUAAAACUUGGAGAGUUAAGUUGGGGAACAAAAUUAUGCAGAAUAAAACUGAUAGGACUGUAUAAUAGAGUCGGUGUGGGCCGUGAGGUGCCUCUGGCUCAGGGCCUCCAUGCGCGUGCUCAUGGUCCCGUUCGCUGGAGGGCUACGUUUUGGUGGAAAUGAGCUUGUGUUUGAUUUGAAACAAAAGCAAACAACCAGGUUUAUAUUUUGUUUUGUCAAACUGAAGGAAGACACCUCCCCCCAGACAGUUUUCUUAGAUGACUCCUCUUUAUUGUCUCAGUCUUGUGAGUGUAACGUAGGAAUCUCUUUGGUCCUUAUCUGCCUGAUAACCAUUCCGAUCCUGUUUCUCUAGCAAAAUGUUUAGACUGGUCGGUUGAAUAAGAUCAAGAUGAGUUCUGUUCUGUGCUGCUCUGGAGCUCUGUUUAGCAGACCACAUUGAGUGUCUGUUACAAAGUGCAAGUCAGAAUGUGGAUUCAGUAAAUACUGAUGUUUCCUGGUCCUUGGCCCUCUUCUCUCGCUGGAUUCUCUCCCUAGGUGACCUCAUACCGACUUCUCAUAGUCUCAGGGCCUCCUGAGACUAAGAGCUCCCAGGCACGGAUCCCUGGGCAGACUUGCCCUCUCAUCAGCAGGCGUUCGCCCCUCUUUGCACAGACGUCUCUUCCGGACACAUCACAUUCAGUGUGUCCAAAUGCAGACUCCUCAUCCCUCCCCACCAAACCCUAGGGAAUGGCACUGCCAGCUCUCUGUUUUAAAAGCCUGGGAGAGGAGUUCCCUUCGUGGCUCAGCAGUUAAUGAACCCAACUUGUAUCCCUGGGGACACAGGUUCAAUCCCUGGCCUUGCUCAGUGGGUUAAGGAUCCGGCUAACGAUUGCCGUGAGCUGUGGUGUGGGUCGAUAACGAGGCUCGGAUCUGGCGUGGCUGUGGCUGUGGUGUAGGCCAGCACCUGCAGCUCCUGUUCAGUCCCUAGCCUGGGAAUCUCCAUGUGCCGUGAGUGCAGCCCUAAAAUAGCAAAAAAAAAAAAAAAAAAA